GAGCGGUAACAGGCGUAGCAAUACGUGCUGACGAGCGGCGAACGGGUGAGUAACGCUUCGGAAUCUGCCCAAUGGUGGGGAAUAACCAGCCGAAAGGUUGGCUAAUACCGCAUGAGCCCUACGGGGGAAAGCGGGGGAUCGUAAGACCUCGCGCCGAUGGAUGAGCCGAAGCCGGAUUAGCUAGUUGGUAGGGUAACGGCCUACCAAGGCGACGAUCCGUAGCUGGUCUGAGAGGACGACCAGCCACACUGGGACUGAGACACGGCCCAGACUCCUACGGGAGGCAGCAGUGGGGAAUAUUGGACAAUGGGGGCAACCCUGAUCCAGCCAUGCCGCGUGAGUGAUGAAGGCCUUCGGGUUGUAAAGCUCUUUUGGCGGGGACGAUGAUGACGGUACCCGCAGAAUAAGCCCCGGCUAACUUCGUG
This 425-nucleotide ribosomal RNA is filed under the name uncultured bacterium. RNAcentral's name for it is "bacterial SSU rRNA". It matches the Rfam family "Bacterial small subunit ribosomal RNA", at positions 64 to 507 of the family's 1533-position model. The record is from RNAcentral.